Molecule: long non-coding RNA, 252 nt
Filed under: Elaeis guineensis (African oil palm)
Lineage: Eukaryota; Viridiplantae; Streptophyta; Magnoliopsida; Arecales; Arecaceae
Description: long non-coding RNA (EGUI_LNC046177)
Source: RNAcentral
UCCUUAUUAUGCCAAGCCAAUACUUGGCUUUGUCCUUAAGUGAGAAGGGGAAUAGAGUCAGUCUAAGUGCAUCAUUAGUAAAAUUUUGAAUCUUCACUAUGGAAUAGAUUUUUAAGAACUUAUCUAGAUGCUUGUAAGGAUCUUUAUUGGUGUUUCCAUAGAAAGAUGAGAGCAUCUAGAUUGUGGUCGACUUGAUCUCAUAAUGACUUAUAGGGAUAUCAGGUAAGUGGAUACAAAUUGAUGGGUUAUAGG